AUUGAUCGCUGGCGGCAGGUCUAACACAUGCAAGUCGAACGGUAACAGUAAGCGUCUUGCUGCUUUGCUGACGAGUGGCGGACGGGUGUGAAAUGUCUGGGAAACUGCCUGAUUGAUGGGGAUAACUACUGGAAACGGUAGCUAAUACCGCAUAACGUCGCAAGCCCAAAGAGGGGGACCUUCUUGCCUCUUUCCAUCGCAUGUGCCCAGAUGGGGAUAGCUAGGAGGUGGGGUAACGGCUCACCUAAGCGACGAUCCCUAGCUCGUCUGUGAGGAUGACCAGUCAGACUGGAACCGAGACACGCUCCCGACCCCUCCGCGAGUCAGCAGUCGGGAAUAUUGCACACAGGGCGCAAGCCUCAUGAAGCCAUGCAGCGUGUAUGAAGAAGGCCCUCGGGUUGUAAAGCACUUUCAGCGGGGAGGAAGGGAGUAACGGUAAACCCCGUACUCAUUGACGUUACAUGGAGAAGAAGCCCCGGCUAACCGCGUG
RNAcentral lists this ribosomal RNA (490 nucleotides) under uncultured bacterium. RNAcentral's name for it is "partial 16S ribosomal RNA". It matches the Rfam family "Bacterial small subunit ribosomal RNA", at positions 30 to 507 of the family's 1533-position model. The record is from RNAcentral.